Molecule: ribosomal RNA, 468 nt
Filed under: uncultured bacterium
Lineage: Bacteria
Description: partial 16S ribosomal RNA
Rfam family: Bacterial small subunit ribosomal RNA
Source: RNAcentral
GACGAACGCUGGCGGCGUGCUUAACACAUGCAAGUCGAACGGAAAGGCCCUGCUUUUGUGGGGUGCUCGAGUGGCGAACGGGUGAGUAACACGUGAGUAACCUGCCCUUGACUUUGGGAUAACUUCAGGAAACUGGGGCUAAUACCGGAUAGGAGCUCCUGCUGCAUUGUGGGGGUUGGAAAGUUUCGGCGGUUGGGGAUGGACUCGCGGCUUAUCAGCUUGUUGGUGGGGUAGUGGCUUACCAAGGCUUUGACGGGUAGCCGGCCUGAGAGGGUGAACGGCCACAUUGGGACUGAGAUACGGCCCAGACUCCUACGGGAGGCAGCAGUGGGGAAUAUUGCACAAUGGGCGGAAGCCUGAUGCAGCAACGCCGCGUGCGGGAUGACGGCCUUCGGGUUGUAAACCGCUUUCGCCUGUGACGAAGCGUGAGUGACGGUAAUGGGUAAAGAAGCACCGGCUAACUACGUG